RNAcentral lists this transfer RNA (74 nucleotides) under Limulus polyphemus (Atlantic horseshoe crab). Its description in RNAcentral is "tRNA-Thr". It matches the Rfam family "tRNA". From Rfam's summary of the family: Transfer RNA (tRNA) molecules are approximately 80 nucleotides in length. Their secondary structure includes four short double-helical elements and three loops (D, anti-codon, and T loops). Lineage: Eukaryota; Metazoa; Arthropoda; Merostomata; Xiphosura; Limulidae. The record is from RNAcentral.
GGCGUUGUGGCUUAGUUGGAUAAAGCGCCUGUCUAGUAAACAGGAGAUCGUGGGUUCGAAUCCCACCGAUGCGU